RNAcentral lists this ribosomal RNA (271 nucleotides) under uncultured prokaryote. RNAcentral's name for it is "partial 16S ribosomal RNA". It matches the Rfam family "Archaeal small subunit ribosomal RNA", at positions 455 to 725 of the family's 1478-position model. The record is from RNAcentral.
GUGCCAGCAGCCGCGGUAAUACCGGCAGUCCGAGUGAUGGCCGAUCUUAUUGGGCCUAAAGCGUCCGUAGCUGGCUGAACAAGUCCGUUGGGAAAUCUGUCCGCUUAACGGGCAGGCGUCCAGCGGAAACUGUUCAGCUUGGGACCGGAAGACCUGAGGGGUACGUCUGGGGUAGGAGUGAAAUCCUGUAAUCCUGGACGGACCGCCGGUGGCGAAAGCGCCUCAGGAGAACGGAUCCGACAGUGAGGGACGAAGGCCAGGGUCUCGAACC